This 2165-nucleotide long non-coding RNA is filed under the name Cottoperca gobio. Its description in RNAcentral is "lncRNA (ENSCGOG00000009389.1)". Lineage: Eukaryota; Metazoa; Chordata; Actinopteri; Perciformes; Bovichtidae. The record is from RNAcentral.
CACAUGAUGUGUAAUUUGUCAUAUGACACUGAUGAACGGACUGAUCCCUCUGCGAGCGAGCGUCACUUACGUCUUCUGUAAAAACUCGGCAGCUCGUUGGGCACUUGUCAGGGAUGCUGUAGCCUGACAUUGUUUGGUGGUAGUACUUGAUAAUAUCUGGAGGAUGGACUGCCGAAGAGUUCUGCCUGCGAUAUGCGCCGCUUGUUUCAUAGGCAUGGUGGUGAGUCAGACCACACUAGCUCCGGCUGUGAUGAACACCACUUUCAUCGAGAAUGUGACCGGUCUGACUAUGACUCCCGUGAUUCUCAGCAGCACGACCCCGGGCUGCCUUGCCUUCAACACUUCUACAUGUGAGCCCUGUGCACCGGGAUCGCAAUACGACAACAACACCCUGCUGUGUGCCUGCUGUUCUGACCCCGGGCUGUGUCUAUUUCCUGGUGCCUGCCUGCCAUGCAACAGUGGUUUCUAUCAGCCACUAGCGGGACAGCAGCAGUGUCUGCCCUGCAACCGGGGCUUCUACACAAAUUUCACUGGAAGUCCAUUAUGUAACCCCUGCCCUACUGGAUCCUUCAACAAUAACACUGGUGGAGACAGUUGCACAAGUUGUUUACCAGGUUUCUUUUCAUCGCAGCAGAGUUCCACUUCAUGUGCACCAUGUGCACCGGGAAGUUUUUGCAACUCCUCAGGUUGUAGCCAGUGCCAGAUGUGUCCUGGAGGAACAGAAGCUCUACAGACUGCCGCUCAAGGCUGCACACUGUGUCGGCCAGGCAUGCACAAGCUUCCCCAUCAGGCUAUGUGUCAAAUCUGCGGCAGUGGCUUCUUCCAGAUCCACUGGGGCAAGGAGAGCUGUGAUUUAUGUCCGGAGAAUCACUACUGCCCUAGUCCGGACGUGAACCCCAUUCAGUGUCCCAGCGAUGCAUUUUGUCCAGAGGGCAGCUUGUCUCCGGGCUACUGCAUGGAGACUUUCUUCCGCAAAGAUGGGGAAACUUGUGAAUUGGCUCCUGUCACCAUGGCUCUAUUAGUUAUUGGAGGAGGGGUGGCCCUACUCUUCAUCAUUUUAAUGGUCCUACGUCGACGGAGAGACACUGAUGGAGAACUGACUGUAGCCCGAGCUCCAUUAUUACGCAAAGAACGACCUCAAGGUCGAUACUAUGGGAUGCCCUGUGAUGCAGAACCUGUGUACGCUGGCUGGUGAAACAAAGGACCUCAUCUUAGCUUUCCUAUGCUUGUUAUCACUGUUUGGGUCCCAAUUAAAGACAAAAGGACUGAUUAAGGAAGACUAAUGGUAAAACACUGGACUGGUGCCUUGAGAGUACUUUGACAAUCCACCAGUUUGUUUUAUUUCUGGUACAUUUGAAUAUAUUUUUGAGAAACAGAAUGUUUUGUGAAUUCUUGUAGUUUGACACUGUUACAGUUGAUCCACUCAGAGACAAACACGCUCCUUUUGUAAACUAGAUUAUCGGAUUAUGAGAGGCAUGUUGGAACGGUGAAAAUUAGAUGCGUGCCUUGACUUGGUGGGAACCUCUCUGUCUUAUGAAAAGCACUUUUUUUACAGAGGUAAUUGAUUUACUUUGCACUUAUGUGUUGGUAGACUUGUGGAUGCCUCCAUUAACUUGUGUAGUUCCACAGUUACAGAGAGGUGUAAACUGUGGUUGGUUAAUGUUUUUCAUCUGCUUUUUUAAAGGUUAUAUUUGUAUGUUUUAAAGGAAAAUAAAUAAACAUGAACAACUUCAGCCUCAUGUCUUACUCUUUUGUACUCAUUUGAAUUUUAUUGAAAGCUUAAAAUAUAAUGUUUUGUGUUUUGUUUUUUAAAAUCUAUGUGACAAAAACAUUAUCAUUUAAAGGCCCUUUCACACAGUGCCGUAUGGCAGAAACGUAUGCCGGCGUAUACGAAAUAUCGGCAAUGCCCUGGUGUACGUUGAUAUAAAUUAGUUGUAAGUUGUGAUCGUUCGAAGGACGCAGACGAAACGCCGAACACGCCAGACAUACGGCCCUGUCACACAGUUGCGUAUGGCAGAAACAUGACAGCGUAUAUGAAAAGCAGCUCAAAAUUUUUCAGAGUCCAAAUACGUCCAACUUUUCCACAGCAGUGUUGUAUCUGACGUAUACAUAACAAAUUAUUAUACGUAUGUGAAACACAUUGAUAGCGUAUCACUUCCUUAUAC